Molecule: ribosomal RNA, 301 nt
Filed under: uncultured bacterium
Lineage: Bacteria
Description: partial 16S ribosomal RNA
Rfam family: Bacterial small subunit ribosomal RNA
Source: RNAcentral
CAGCAGCCGCGGGAAUACGUAGGUGGCAAGCGUUGUCCGGAAUUAUUGGGCGUAAGGGGCUCGCAGGCGGUUUCUUAAGUCUGAUGUGAAAGCCCCCGGCUCAACCUGGGAGGGUCAUUGGAAACUGGGAAACUUGAGUGCAGAAGAGGAGAGUGGAAUUCCACGUGCAGCGGUGAAAUGCGUAGAGAUGUGGAGGAACACCGGUGGCGAAGGCGGCGACCUGGUCCUUGACUGACGCUGAGGCGCGAAAGCGUGGGGAGCAAACAGGAUUAGAUACCCCUGUAGUCCCUGUCUCUUAUAA